Molecule: long non-coding RNA, 3009 nt
Filed under: Homo sapiens (human)
Lineage: Eukaryota; Metazoa; Chordata; Mammalia; Primates; Hominidae
Description: non-protein coding lnc-DCAF12L2-2:1
Source: RNAcentral
CUUCACAGAAUUGGAAAAAACUACUUUAAAGUUCAUAUGGAACCAAAAAAGAGCCCGCAUCGCCAAGUCAAUCCUAAGCCAAAAGAACAAAGCUGGUGAUAUCACACUACCUGACUUCAAACUACACUACAAGGCUACAGUAACCAAAACAGCAUGGUACUGGUAGCAAAACAGAGAUAUUGAUCAAUGGAACAGAACAGAGCCCUCAGAAAUAACGCCGCAUAUCUACAACUAUCUGAUCUUUGACAAACCUGAGAAAAACAAGCAAUGGGGAAAGGAUUCCCUAUUUAAUAAAUGGUGCUGGGAAAACUGGCUAGCCAUAUGUAGAAAGCUGAAACUGGAUCCCUUCCUUACACCUUAUACAAAAAUCAAUUCAAGAUGGAUUAAAGACUUAAACGUUAGACCUAAAACCAUAAAAACCCUGGAAGAAAACCUAGGCAUUACCAUUCAGGACAUAGGCAUGGGCAAGGACUUCAUGUCUAAAACACCAAAAGCAAUGGCAAGAAAAGACAAAAUUGACAAAUGGGAUCUAAUUAAACUAAAGAGCUUCUGCACAGCAAAAGAAACUACCAUCAGAGUGAACAGGCAACCUACAAAAUGGGAGAAAAUUUUCGCAACCUACUCAUCUGACAAAGGGCUAAUAUCCAGCAUCUACAAUGAACUCCAACAAAUUUACAAAAAAAAACAACAAACAACCCCAUCAAAAAGUGGGUGAAGUACAUGAACAGACACUUCUCAAAAGAAGACAUUUAUGCAGCCAAAAAACACAUGAAAAAAUGCUCAUCAUCACUGGCCAUCAGAGAAAUGCAAAUCAAAACCAUAAUGAGAUACCAUCUCACACCAGUUAGAAUGGCAAUCAUUAAAAAGUCAGGAAACAAUGGGUGCUGGAGAGGAUGUGGAGAAAUAGGAACACUUUUACACUGUUGGUGGGACUGUAAACUAGUUCAACCAUUCUGGAAGUCAGUGUGGCGAUUCCUCAGGGAUCUAGAACUGGAAAUACCAUUUGACCCAGCCAUCCCAUUACUGGGUAUAUACCCAAAGGACUAUAAAUCAUGCUGCUAUAAAGACACAUGCACACGUAUGUUUAUUGCGGCACUAUUCACAAUAGCAAAGACUUGGAACCAACCCAAAUAUCCAUCAGUGAUAGACUGGAUUAAGAAAAUGUGGCACAUAUACACCAUGGAAUAGUAUGCAGCCAUAAAAAAUGAUGAGUUCAUGUCCUUUGUAGGGACAUGGAUGAAAUUGGAAAUCAUCAUUCUCAGUAAACUAUCACAAGAACAAAAAACCAAACGCCGCAUAUUCUCACUCAUAGGUGGGAAUUGAACAAUGAGAUCACAUGGACACAGGAAGGGGAAUAUCACACUCUGGGGACUGUUGUGGGGUGGGGGGAGGGGGGAGGGAUAGCACUGGGAGAUAUACCUAAUGCUAGAUGACGAGUUAGUGGGUGCAGCGCACCAGCAUGGCACAUGUAUACAUAUGUAACUAACCUGCACAAUGUGCACAUGUACCCUAAAACUUAAAGUAUAACAAAAAAAAGAAAAUUAUCAUGUUUUAUCAAAUAUAUUUUUGUUUGUACCAUUAGCUGUAAGUCAUUUAGAGCCACAGAAAAUAAAAUGUAUGCGUGUCACAUACUGAUUAUCAGCAAGGCCUCUUCAUUAAGAUGAAAAAUGAUUUUCAAAAAUUCUAACUCCCAAAUCUUUUGUUCCUCCCAGUAAAUAAACGCAGUCAUCUUUCAGUAAUAUUUUUCAUUUUGCAUGUUCACCACAAGGACAGUAAUUUGUACAAGGUAAUUUUUUCAGUCUUUCUUAUUACCUAUUUCUUGGACCCAUUUGACUUCCCAAGUAUAAGGCAAAGACCACUGAAUCACCAUCAUAGCCUGCUUUUCUGGCUUAAAGAUUUAUUUUAAAAUCCCCUUUGUAUUUAUACAUGAUGUGCUUGACAGAUAUGUUGUGAUGAUUGUUAUACAUGCAGUAGUGUGCUUUAAAAAAAUUACUCACUUUGCUUAUGUGCCAGUUUAUUGUUCUUUGUGCAAAGUAACAAGCCAUUCUGCUGUGGAUGAAAGAUCUUGAUUUGAAUGUUCACAAUGUACAACUCCUUCAUGGCUGAAAGCUUCCAGUGAUUUCAAUCUUUCUGUCACCCACACAAAUCCCACAUCUACAUAUAGAGUCUUAUUACAACAGAUAAGGAUUUAUUUUUCAAUUAUUCGUUGUAAGAGUUUACUGAUUAAAUGUCUCUAUUACUAACCAUGUUCCAUCCCUUUGUAAACUCCAUUUCUCCCCACAACCACCAUUUACGCAACUGUCAUCAGAAAAAUAAUGUUACUUGGCAACAAAACAUCAUUUCAAAUUUUAGUAUGAACUGAGGCUUUGUGCUAGCAAUUUAUGCCAAACAAUACGCAAAAUUAAGGUUCUUUGGUUCGACAACUAUUUUGAACUAAUACUUCGAUUUUUUUACAAAUUGCUGAAGUUUGAAGACAUUAUGUAUGACAUUUCUCAAUGGUUAUACAUGUGCAUAAAUGCUUCAUGAAACAUUUUAAUGGUUAAUUCUUGAAGUAUUCUUAUUGUGAAUGAACUAGCCAGAUUCUCCCAGUAGAAAGUCUACUCCCUGAGAGUAAGCUAUUUAUAUUGACAUUUUGGAACUACUACAAUUCCAUUUAAUAAAAUAUUAACACGGAAGUUUAAUGGCAGGGGAAAAUCUGACUCAGUGCCUUUCUUAGCCUAAGAAACAGAUGAGAUCGUGAAAAAUCCUUAUUGUCAAUGGGAAACACUCUGAUACAUUUGCAGUUACAGUAUUUCUCUUAAUCCAGUAUCUCACUAUGUGUUACCACCCUUGCAGUAUGCAUAUUAACCUGCACUAAUUGAAGUUGUUUUUGUUCCUAUCUUGAGACUUUGGAAAUAAAAAAUAUAUAUAAUUUUUAAGGGCAUGUAUCAUUUCUGUAGUAGAGACUGAAAUAAAAAUUUAUCAUUGUUGAUGAUGUGUUUACUAAGCAAUUUUUGUCAUUAUUCUCAA